UGUCUUCGGAGAAGGACAGAAAUAACGAUCCUACUGUCCUGUGAAGAGCUGGAGAGGAAAUGUCAGCCAACAGCAUAUGCAAGUUCCCCAAAGCAGCAUCUCUGGAGCAGUCAGUAAUGGAGAUGGAGGAAACGUGAAGCUUGGAGAGAAAAGUCUCUCUGAAUAACUACUACUAACAUGGAAGAUAAAGAAAUCAGAGUGAUCCAUGUUCAGGGAAGGACCAAUGUGAGAGGUGUCACCAGAGACUGUAACUCAUCUUUAUGGAACCUUCAUCCUUGUAUUCUUUUUCCUGAAAACAUUAUCCUUCUUUUUUGGCUCAAAGGCUACAUUGCUUUACAGUUUUUGAUGCCAGCUGGAGCAGAUAUUCAUUCCAAAACAUCUGACAACUAUGCUUUACUGUCAGAAUAUAUUAUUCAGAAGUUGAAACAGGUCUGUUCAAUGUGGAUUAAAGCAGAGACAUCCCAGGUAGUUGGAGAAGGGUUCUUCACCCACCACUGCACAUCUCCGUGGCAGUUGCACUCAGCUCUCCUCGUGCUCAGAGCAGUGACAGAACUGCCCUGGGGAGGCCAUUCACCACACCUUUGGAUGAUGAGAGACCACCAAAAAUGCCCAUGGCUUUUGAAGGGAUCCACAUUAUUUUACAGGUGUACUCUGAUGUCAAUGGAUGAAAAGGUCCCAUAUGUGUAAUGAAAACGGACAGCAAACUUCAUCCAUCAAAUCUUCUGGAAGCUUUAAAGCAUUUGUUUCCCUGGCCAAACUCAUGAUGCUGACCAGUGCUCCCCAUCCGAAGACCAGUGCUGGCUCCUUCCAGGUGGGCAGGCAGUUCUCUCCUGAGGACAGGAUAGGAACUAUGAGCCCUUUUUUUUGUUGCUUUUGUUGUUGUUGCUGCUGCUGUUUUAAUUAAGAUUCAGAAAUUGAGCUUCCUAUGUGAAAGGGCAUUUUUGCUUUGGUUUUUGUGUUUUUUCUCUCUUUGAAAGCAUUAGCUGGUGGAUCACCAGUAAGCACUACGUGGUAUGCACUGUCUGAACUGCAUGUACCCAAAUAAAUGGGUGCAGUCAAACCACAAUGGGACUAGGGAUGCACUUAGAAUCGCAGAAUUGCCAAGGUUGGAAAAGACCUCCAAGAUCAUCCAUCCCAACCAUCCACCUACCACCAAUAUUACCC
RNAcentral lists this long non-coding RNA (1164 nucleotides) under Gallus gallus (chicken). RNAcentral describes it as "lncRNA (ENSGALG00010020394.1)". Lineage: Eukaryota; Metazoa; Chordata; Aves; Galliformes; Phasianidae. The record is from RNAcentral.